Molecule: ribosomal RNA, 711 nt
Filed under: uncultured bacterium
Lineage: Bacteria
Description: bacterial SSU rRNA
Rfam family: Bacterial small subunit ribosomal RNA
Source: RNAcentral
GGAUAACCCGGAGAAAUCCGGACUAAUACCGCAUGGUACUCUUUGCACAGAAGUGUGAAGAUUUAAAGAUGCGAAUCGGUUGCGGACGGUCAUGCGUUCCAUUAGCUAGUUGGCGGGGUAACGGCCCACCAAGGCGACGAUGGAUAGGGGUUCUGAGAGGAAGGUCCCCCACACUGGUACUGAGACACGGACCAGACUCCUACGGGAGGCAGCAGUGAGGAAUAUUGGUCAAUGGGCGAGAGCCUGAACCAGCCAAGUCGCGUGAGGGAAGACGGCCCUAUGGGUUGUAAACCUCUUUUAGAUGGGAGUAAAGUGUUCUACGAGUAGGAUAUUGCAAGUACCAUCAGAAUAAGCAUCGGCUAAUUCCGUGCCAGCAGCCGCGGUAAUACGGAAGAUGCGAGCGUUAUCCGGAUUUAUUGGGUUUAAAGGGUGCGUAGGCGGGUGAUUAAGUCAGCGGUGAAAUGCGUCAGCUUAACUGGCGAACUGCCAUUGAAACUGGUUACCUUGAGUGUAGCGGAAGUAUGCGGAAUGCGUGGUGUAGCGGUGAAAUGCAUAGAUAUCACGCAGAACUCCGAUUGCGAAGGCAGCAUACCAUACUAUAACUGACGCUGAAGCACGAAAGCGUGGGUAUCGAACAGGAUUAGAUACCCUGGUAGUCCACGCAGUAAACGAAGAAUACUCACCGUUUGCGAUAUAAUGUAAGCGGUAAAG